This 85-nucleotide transfer RNA is filed under the name Vibrio campbellii. RNAcentral describes it as "tRNA-Leu". It matches the Rfam family "tRNA". Rfam says of the family: Transfer RNA (tRNA) molecules are approximately 80 nucleotides in length. Their secondary structure includes four short double-helical elements and three loops (D, anti-codon, and T loops). RNAcentral also lists the same sequence under 1 other name. The record is from RNAcentral. Lineage: Bacteria; Pseudomonadati; Pseudomonadota; Gammaproteobacteria; Vibrionales; Vibrionaceae.
GCGGAAGUGGCGGAAUUGGUAGACGCACCAGAUUUAGGUUCUGGCGCCGCAUGGUGUGAGAGUUCAAGUCUCUCCUUCCGCACCA